This 1571-nucleotide long non-coding RNA is filed under the name Mus musculus (house mouse). Its description in RNAcentral is "RIKEN cDNA 1700054A03 gene". The record is from RNAcentral. Lineage: Eukaryota; Metazoa; Chordata; Mammalia; Rodentia; Muridae.
AGUCUUCUUAUGAUUAAGACAUAGAGACGGAACCAGCUUGAUUUAAUACCGAAAUGGGUCUGACAUGAACCAUGGCCAAGUCAACAGAGACAGGCAACCAACACGUGACACUUGCCUGCAAGCUUUUCUGAGACACGGAUGGCUGAGAGCCAGCUCUAAAUAUUUCACGUCUCUGUCUGAGUUGAUCAGGUUUCCCAAAGCAGCCUCACGAGGACGUUAGGGAUAGUAGAGGGCUAAACACAACAACAAAACUCAAAGGUUUCCAACAGACUGGGAAGCAGAUGUGGACCCAGAGCCUUGCCCUAUUGUGUUGUUUCUGAACCGGCUACAUCCAUCCAGCAAUUGCUCUGGAAAUAAUCAGUUGUACCUCUGUUCGUCUAUUUAAAAACUGGGUGGCACCAAGACAGGGCUGCGUAUCAAGACAGGGCUGUUCACUUUUUUAUUCCUCGGGCCCAACAUGGUGGACUCAGCUUAUUUCUGAUUUUCUGUGAAUGAAAUAACAGAGUUUGCUGUGCAGAACCAUCUGGCUAUGCACAGCAUGCGGUGUUUGUCUUGACCCCACCCCCAACUCCCAGCAUGCCUCUGAGGUCAGAAUUCCCCUAUGGCUGGGGUGCUUCCAGGAUAUGCUUAGAGCAGCACAAAAUUUGGCAAUAAUAAUAACCCAUAAGUGCAUCAUCAAUGCAAAUCUCUUUCCACAAGAGAACAAUCGCCAGGCCAGUCUGGUGCCUUUCAGUGGAAGCCAGGGUGUAGUUGAAGAGAUCACCAGAGUCUAACGCACAAAAAGACAAUCUACACCACCCACUCCUACCCUCCAAUUCGCCCUGUGCUUAUUGCUCUGAAAUCAUGCUCUGCCAUGUUUAGGUGUUACUGCCCGGUUCUCCUCACCAGAGAAAGAAUAGCAACCAGGAAAACCUCUAUCCUCAAUGGAGCAAGUGUCUGUGGAAUUGACUAGUGUGUAGUGAACAGUUGCGUGGACACUUAUGUGCUGCGUGCGGAAUGUUUGGGGUGUUUGCCGUGACCUAGCUCACUGUCUCAUCACAAAGGCUUUAGGAGGGUUCAGUCCAUCACAGCAGGGAAAGCAUGGCCGCAGAUGCAAGGCAGUUGUCAAUAUCGUCUCCACAGUCAGCAAGCAGAGAGUAGACAGGAAACACGGCAUGGACAUAAAACCUUCAAGCCUUCCUCAGUGGCCUGCUUUCUCCAGAGGAGUUCCACUUCCUAAUGGCUACGCACACUUCCAAAAGAGCACCACCAGCUGGGGACCAGCUGUUCCAACAUGAGCCUGUGGGGGACAUUUACCAUUCAAGCACACGGGAGACUGCUAUGGACAGAAGAAAGCAGAGCGUUUUCUUCAGAUAUGGCGAGCAGGAUGUGAUUUGUUGCUUCUAUCUGCACAGGUUUAACUCAAGAAAUCGUCAUCACCAGAAUUCAAAUAAAACCUUCAGUUCUCACAGUUUGGUCUUGGGGUGUUUGGUUGAUUGGUUGGUUUUUGUUUGUUUGGUUUUUGUUGUUGUUGUAAUCUUGACUAAAGCAAUUUCAGGUCUAAAGAUAUAAGCUGAAAUUUCAGCCAUCGA